CCUACGGGCGGCAGCAGUGAGGAAUAUUGGUCAAUGGACGCAAGUCUGAACCAGCCAUGCCGCGUGCAGGAAGACGGCUCUAUGAGUUGUAAACUGCUUUUGUACGAGGGUAAACGCAGAUACGCGUAUCUGUCUGAAAGUAUCUUACGAAUAAGGAUCGGCUAACUCCGUGCCAGCAGCCGCGGUAAUACGGAGGAUUCAAGCGUUAUCCGGAUUUAUUGGGUUUAAAGGGUGCGUAGGCGGGCGGUUAAGUUAGGGGUUAAAUCCCGGGGCUCAACUUCGGACAUGCCUCUGAUACUGUUCGGCUAGAGAGUAGUUGCGGUAGGCGGAAUGUAUGGUGUAGCGGUGAAAUGCUUAGAGAUCAUGCAGAACACCGAUUGCGAAGGCAGCUUACCGGGCUACGUCUGACGUUGAGGCACGAAAGCGUGGGGAGCAAACAGGAUUAGAUACCCGGGUAGUC
Molecule: ribosomal RNA, 460 nt
Filed under: uncultured bacterium
Lineage: Bacteria
Description: partial 16S ribosomal RNA
Rfam family: Bacterial small subunit ribosomal RNA
Source: RNAcentral